Molecule: ribosomal RNA, 403 nt
Filed under: uncultured bacterium
Lineage: Bacteria
Description: bacterial SSU rRNA
Rfam family: Bacterial small subunit ribosomal RNA
Source: RNAcentral
AAUCAACGCUGGCGGCGCGCCUAACACAUGCAAGUCGAACGCGAAAGUCCCGCAAGGGAUAAGUAGAGUGGCAAACGGGUGAGUAACACGUGGGUGACCUGCCUUCGAGUGGGGGAUAACGUCCCGAAAGGGACGCUAAUACCGCAUAACAUCCUGCCUUUUAAGAGGUGGAGAUCAAAGCUGGGGACCGCAAAGGCCUGGCGCUGGAAGAGGGGCCCGCGUCUGAUUAGCUAGUUGGUGAGGUAACGGCUCACCAAGGCAACGAUCAGUAUCCGGCCUGAGAGGGCGGACGGACACACUGGGACUGAGACACGGCCCAGACUCCUACGGGAGGCAGCAGUGGGGAAUUGUUCGCAAUGGGCGCAAGCCUGACGACGCAACGCCGCGUGGAGGAUGAAGACCU